AUUGAACGCUGGCGGAAUGCUUUACACAUGCAAGUCGAACGGCAGCACGGGGGCAACCCUGGUGGCGAGUGGCGAACGGGUGAGUAAUACAUCGGAACGUGCCCAGUCGUGGGGGAUAACGUAGCGAAAGCUACGCUAAUACCGCAUACGAUCUACGGAUGAAAGCGGGGGAUCGCAAGACCUCGCGCGAUUGGAGCGGCCGAUGGCAGAUUAGGUAGUUGGUGGGGUAAAGGCUCACCAAGCCGACGAUCUGUAGCUGGUCUGAGAGGACGACCAGCCACACUGGGACUGAGACACGGCCCAGACUCCUACGGGAGGCAGCAGUGGGGAAUUUUGGACAAUGGGCGCAAGCCUGAUCCAGCCAUUCCGCGUGCAGGAUG
Molecule: ribosomal RNA, 380 nt
Filed under: uncultured bacterium
Lineage: Bacteria
Description: bacterial SSU rRNA
Rfam family: Bacterial small subunit ribosomal RNA
Source: RNAcentral